This 253-nucleotide ribosomal RNA is filed under the name uncultured bacterium. RNAcentral describes it as "partial 16S ribosomal RNA". It matches the Rfam family "Bacterial small subunit ribosomal RNA", at positions 524 to 776 of the family's 1533-position model. The record is from RNAcentral.
UACGUAGGGUGCAAGCGUUGUCCGGAAUUAUUGGGCGUAAAGAGCGUGUAGGCGGUUCGGUAAGUCUGCCGUGAAAACCCAGGGCUCAACCCUGGGCGUGCGGUGGAUACUGCCGGGCUAGAGGGUGGUAGAGGCGAGUGGAAUUCCCGGUGUAGCGGUGAAAUGCGCAGAUAUCGGGAGGAACACCAGUAGCGAAGGCGGCUCGCUGGGCCAUACCUGACGCUGAGACGCGAAAGCGUGGGGAGCAAACAGG